RNAcentral lists this ribosomal RNA (1370 nucleotides) under metagenome. Its description in RNAcentral is "bacterial LSU rRNA". It matches the Rfam family "Bacterial large subunit ribosomal RNA", at positions 1579 to 2925 of the family's 2925-position model. The record is from RNAcentral.
CUUGUGGCGAAGUGGGUGAUCCUAUGCUGCCGAGAAAAGCCUCUAGUGAGUGUCGUGGCGGCCCGUACCCCAAACCGACUCAGGUGGUCAUGUAGAGAAUACCAAGGCGAUCGGGUGAACUGUGGUUAAGGAACUCGGCAAAUUGCCCCCGUAACUUCGGGAGAAGGGGGGCCUCCGCUGGUGAUCAGACUUGCUUUAUGAGCUGGUGGGGGUCGCAGAGGCCAGGGGGAAGCGACUGUUUACUAAAAACACAGGUCCGUGCGAAGUCGUAAGACGAUGUAUACGGACUGACGCCUGCCCGGUGCUGGAACGUUAAGGGGACCGGUUAGCGCAUCUUCGGGUGUGCGAGGCUGAGAACUUAAGCGCCAGUAAACGGCGGUGGUAACUAUAACCAUCCUAAGGUAGCGAAAUUCCUUGUCGGGUAAGUUCCGACCUGCACGAAUGGCGUAACGACUUCCCCGCUGUCUCAACCGCAGACCCGGCGAAAUUGCACUACGAGUAAAGAUGCUCGUUACGCGCAGCAGGACGGAAAGACCCCGGGACCUUCACUACAGCUUGACAUUGGCGUUUGGAACGUCUUGUGUAGGAUAGGUGGGAGACUGUGAAGCUGUCACGCUAGUGGUGGUGGAGUCAUUGGUGAAAUACCACUCUGGUCGUUUUGAACGUCUAACUUCGGUCCGUGAUCCGGAUCAGGGACAGUGUCUGGUGGGUAGUUUAACUGGGGCGGUUGCCUCCUAAAGAGUAACGGAGGCGCCCAAAGGUUCCCUCAGCCUGGUUGGUAAUCAGGUGUCGAGUGUAAGUGCACAAGGGAGCUUGACUGUGAGACCGACGGGUCGAGCAGGAGCGAAAGCUGGGACUAGUGAUCCGGCGGUGGCAUGUGGAAGCGCCGUCGCUCAACGGCUAAAAGGUACCCCGGGGAUAACAGGCUGAUCUUCCCCAAGAGUCCAUAUCGACGGGAUGGUUUGGCACCUCGAUGUCGGCUCGUCGCAUCCUGGGGCUGGAGUAGGUCCCAAGGGUUGGGCUGUUCGCCCAUUAAAGCGGUACGCGAGCUGGGUUUAGAACGUCGCGAGACAGUUCGGUCCCUAUCCGCUGCGCGCGCAGGAGACUUGAAAGGAGCUGUCCCUAGUACGAGAGGACCGGGACGGACGAACCUCUGGUGUGCCAGUUGUUCCGCCAGGAGCAUGGCUGGUUGGCUACGUUCGGAAGGGAUAACCGCUGAAAGCAUCUAAGCGGGAAGCUCGCCUUGAGAUGAGGUCUCCCACCACGAGAGUGGGUAAGGCCCCCGGGAGACGACCGGGUUGAUAGGCCGGAGGUGGAAGCAUGGUAACGUGUGGAGCUGACCGGUACUAAUAGGCCGAGGACUUGACCAA